Molecule: regulatory RNA element, 115 nt
Organism: Tenacibaculum sp.
Lineage: Bacteria; Pseudomonadati; Bacteroidota; Flavobacteriia; Flavobacteriales; Flavobacteriaceae
Rfam family: Bacteroidete tryptophan peptide leader RNA
Source: Rfam
UACCUUACUUUUGUUGCACAAUGAAUAAACAAUUAAACAUAUCUUGGUGGUGGAACUCUCUUAAUUAAUAAGUGAGAAUAAAUCCUAUAUGUAAAAAAUAUAAAAAAGGCUUAUC